RNAcentral lists this ribosomal RNA (471 nucleotides) under uncultured bacterium. Its description in RNAcentral is "bacterial SSU rRNA". It matches the Rfam family "Bacterial small subunit ribosomal RNA", at positions 1 to 507 of the family's 1533-position model. The record is from RNAcentral.
CACUGACGAGUUUGAUCAUGGCUCAGAGCGAACGCUAGCGCGGGCUUAACACAUGCAAGUCGAACGCAUCUCUUCGGAGGUGAGUGGCGGACGGGUGAGUAACACGUAGGUUACCUGCCCUUUGGUGGGGGAUAACUCGGGGAAACCCGAGCUAAUACCGCAUAUGGCCUUCGGGUCAAAGCCUUCGGGCGCCAGAGGAUGGGCCUGCGUCCCAUUAUUUAAUCCUAGUUGGUGGGGUAACGGCCUACCAAGGGUACGAUGGGUAGCUGGUCUGAGAGGAUGAUCAGCCACACUGGGACUGAGACACGGCCCAGACUCCUACGGGAGGCAGCAGUGGGGAAUAUUGCGCAAUGGGGGAAACCCUGACGCAGCCACGCCGCGUGAGUGAUGAAGGCCCUCGGGUCGUAAAGCUCUGUCGGGAGGGACGAAGUACUGACGGUACCUCCCAAGAAAGCACCGGCCAACUCCGUG